RNAcentral lists this ribosomal RNA (441 nucleotides) under uncultured bacterium. RNAcentral's name for it is "partial 16S ribosomal RNA". It matches the Rfam family "Bacterial small subunit ribosomal RNA", at positions 338 to 795 of the family's 1533-position model. The record is from RNAcentral.
CCUACGGGUGGCUGCAGUGGGGAAUAUUGGGCAAUGGAGGAAACUCUGACCCAGCAACGCCGCGUGAAGGAUGAAGGUUUUCGGAUUGUAAACUUCUGUCGCGAGGGACGAAGAAUGACGGUACCUCGUAAGAAAGCCCCGGCUAACUACGUGCCAGCAGCCGCGGUAAUACGUAGGGGGCGAGCGUUGUCCGGAAUGACUGGGCGUAAAGGGAGUGUAGGCGGCAAUAUAAGUUAGAUGUGAAAUCCCGCGGCUCAACCGCGGAACUGCAUCUAAAACUAUAUAGCUGGAGUGCAGGAGAGGUGAGUGGAAUUCCUAGUGUAGCGGUGUAAUGCGUAGAUAUUAGGAGGAACACCAGAGGCGAAGGCAUCUCACGAAUCCGCGAUUGACGCUGAUGCACGAAAGCGUGGGUAUCAAACAGGAUUAGAUACCCCAGUAGUC